Molecule: transfer RNA, 67 nt
Filed under: Himaloaesalus gaoligongshanus
Lineage: Eukaryota; Metazoa; Arthropoda; Insecta; Coleoptera; Lucanidae
Description: tRNA-Leu
Rfam family: tRNA
About the family: Transfer RNA (tRNA) molecules are approximately 80 nucleotides in length. Their secondary structure includes four short double-helical elements and three loops (D, anti-codon, and T loops).
Source: RNAcentral
UCUAAUAUAGCAAAUAAGUGCAUUGGAUUUAAGUUCCAAAUAUAAAAGAUUAAUCUUUUUUUUAGAA